Molecule: ribosomal RNA, 466 nt
Filed under: uncultured bacterium
Lineage: Bacteria
Description: partial 16S ribosomal RNA
Rfam family: Bacterial small subunit ribosomal RNA
Source: RNAcentral
GAUGAACGCUGGCGGCGUGCUUAACACAUGCAAGUCGAACGAUCAAGCCCAGCUUGCUGGGUGGAUUCGUGACCAACGGAUGGGUAACACGCACGUAACCUGCCCUUAAAUCUGAGUUAAACCUGGUAAACUGGGUCUAAUACCGGAUAGGAGCGCCUACCGCAUGGAUGGUGUUGGAAUGAUUUAGCGGUUUUGGAUGGACUCGCGGCCUAUCAGCUUGUUGGUGAGGUAAUGGCUCACGAAGGGGUAGACGGGUAGCCGGCCUGUGAGGGUGACCGGCCACACUGGGACUGAGACACGGCGCAGACUCCAACGGGAGGCAGCAGUGGGGAAUAUUGCACAAUGGGCGAAAGCCUGAUGCAGCGACGCCGCGUGAGGGAUGACGGCCUUCGGGUUGUAAACCUCUUUCAGAAGGGAAGAGGCGAAAGUGACGGUACCUGCAGAAGAAGCACCGGCUAACUACGUG